ACGGGGCCGCCUGGAGAGGUGCUGGGAGCUGGGUGGAGCUUAGAGGAAUUAAACUUUGGCCCUGCGCCUCGUCCAGCCUAGGUUCCACCCUUUUCUGGGAACAAUGAAUCUCGCUGUGUUGUCCAGGCUGGAGUGCAGUGGCACCAUCUCGGCUCACUGCAACCUCUGGCUCCCAGGUUCAAGCGAUUCUCCUGCCUCAGCCCCCUGAGUAGCUGGGAUUACAGGCACGCGCCACCACUCCCAGGCUCCGGUAGAUUGCAAAUGACCUGCUUUCUUUCUGUUCCCGGGCGUUUGGACCCCUGUCUUGGACCGCUGUCGGAUAGUAAAUCCCAAGUAAGGUACCUGCCGUCGGCAGAUUUGAGCUUUCUUCUUGGACACCUAAUACCCAGAGUCCUCCAGGCUCCGGUAGAUUGCAAAUGACCUGCUUUCUUUCUGUUCCCGGGCGGCAUCGGACCCGUCGGAGAGUAAAUCCCAAGUAAGGUACCUGCCGUUGGCAGAUUUGAGCUUUCUUCUUGGACACCUAAUACCCACAGUCCUCCAGGCUCCGGUAGAUUGCAAAUGACCUGCUUUCUUUCUGUUCCCGGGUGGCAUCGACCCGUCGGAGAGUAAAUCCCAAGUAAGGUACCUGCCGUUGGCAGAUUUGAGCUUUCUUCUUGGACACCUAAUACCCACAGUCCUCCAGGUGAGUCCUAAGGAUCUUAGGAUACGCGAUGGGGGUCCUAAGGCAGGGGGGGAAGAGGGGAUGGCUGUCACCCAACCCAAAAUGGGCGGCCUUUAUGUUCAGGUUUUGCCCAAGAGUCAGCUUAUUUGCUUCUUGUACUAUCAGGGCAGUUGAUGCCACGGCCCUCAAACAUGAGGGGCCAUCCUUUAGAAACCCUCUCUAGUUGUUUAGACAACUAGGCCACCGGCCUCAGCCAGGGCCCCAGAGUUUCGGUUAAAAGUCCAGCUGCCAUCUUUUCUCUAUCUGACGCAUUCAAUGGAAAAGGCUUUGUCAGAUCGGGUAGCCCCAGGGCUGGGGCUGCCAGAAGUUUUUCCUUUAACUCCUGAAAGACUUUUUGUUCUUGGGAUCCCCAUUCCAAAGGUUCCGUUCCCCGCCCCCUUUGUGACCUCAUACAAAGGCUUGGCUAAUACUGCAAAGUUUGGGAUCCAGUCUACAAAACCCCACAGCUCCCAAGAAUUCCCUUACCUGCCUUCUGCCCUUAGGCUCCGGUAGAUUGUAAAUAACCUGCUUUCUUUCUGUUCCCGGGCUGCGUUCGGACCCCUGUCGGAUAGUAAAUCCCAAGCAAGGUACCUGCCGUCAGCAGAUUUGAGCUUUCUUCUUGGACACCUAAUACCCACAGUCCUCCAGGCUCCGGUAGAUUGCAAAUGACCUGCUUUCUUUCUGUUCCCGGGCUGCGUUCGGACCCCUGUCGGAUAGUAACUCCCAAGUAAGGUACCUGCCGUCGGCAGAUUGGAGCUUUCUUCUUGGAGACCUAAUACCCACAGUCCUCCAGAAAAACAAACAAAGACAUGGAUUUACUGUGCAUAUUAGCAGAUCCAUACUGGAAAAUGCAUGGAGGUUUCAUAUACACCACUUACAGUUUUCAGCUCCUCAGUAGUGACAAAGCCAUACCCAUCAUUGUCGAUUCGAUCAACAAUCUUCCCUAGCCUCUCCUUGCUCUCGUCCGGGGUGAGCUCGUCGAAGUUCUUGGAGUCCUCCUUGCCCAGGAAGGCCUCGUGGUCGUACUGGAAGCUCUGGUUGUCCUCAGGGGGCCGCUCGCCCAGCUCCGAGUCGGGCCGCACCACGCGCUCUUUGCGCACCGUGGGCUUGGCCCGCAGAACCCGCGGCGCCAGCACCAGCGCCAGCAGCAGCCCCAGGGCUAACCCCAGGCGGCCACCGCGCGCCAUCGUCCCGAGGAGAGGGCGGCCGGGAGGGAGACGCUGAGCGAGCGACAACAGCGGCAGCUCGGGAAUGGGGGCUCGGAGCGCGGCGGCCAAGUUUUAUGUUAUGUAUAUUUUACAAGUAAAAAAAUUUUUUCACCUCAGCCUGAACUGAACACUAGCUGACAGACGUUUUGAUUUCUUUGACCAUCACGGAAUCGUGGCCAAGCGCGGUGGCUCACAUCUGUAAUCCCAACACUUUGGGAGGUCAAGAUGGGCGGAUUGCUUGAAUCCAGGUGUUUGAGAUCAGCCUGGGCAACAUGACAAAACCCUGUUUCUAGUAAAAAUACAAAAAUUAACCAGGCUCAAGCCAUGACCAUGCACCAUUGCACUCCAGCCUAGGCGACAGAGCAGGACCCUGUCUC
RNAcentral lists this long non-coding RNA (2285 nucleotides) under Homo sapiens (human). Its description in RNAcentral is "non-protein coding TPT1-AS1:12". The record is from RNAcentral. Lineage: Eukaryota; Metazoa; Chordata; Mammalia; Primates; Hominidae.